This 1426-nucleotide ribosomal RNA is filed under the name uncultured bacterium. RNAcentral's name for it is "partial 16S ribosomal RNA". It matches the Rfam family "Bacterial small subunit ribosomal RNA". The record is from RNAcentral.
GAUGAACGCUGGCGGCGUGCCUAACACAUGCAAGUCGAGCGAUUCUCUUCGGAGAAGAGCGGCGGACGGGUGAGCAACGCGUGGGUAACCUGCCCUAUACACACGGAUAACAUACCGAAAGGUAUGCUAAUACGAGAUAAUAUAAGAGAUUCACAUGGAUUUCUUAUCAAAGCUGAGGCGGUAUAGGAUGGACCCGCGUCUGAUUAGCUAGUUGGUAAGGUAACGGCUUACCAAGGCGACGAUCAGUAGCCGACCUGAGAGGGUGAUCGGCCACAUUGGAACUGAGACACGGUCCAAACUCCUACGGGAGGCAGCAGUGGGGAAUAUUGCACAAUGGGCGAAAGCCUGAUGCAGCAACGCCGCGUGAGUGAUGAAGGCCUUCGGGUCGUAAAACUCUGUCCUCAAGGAAGAUAAUGACGGUACUUGAGGAGGAAGCCCCGGCUAACUACGUGCCAGCAGCCGCGGUAAUACGUAGGGGGCUAGCGUUAUCCGGAUUUACUGGGCGUAAAGGGUGCGUAGGUGGUCUCUUAAGUCAGGAGUGAAAGGCUACGGCUUAACCGUAGUAAGCUCUUGAAACUGGGAGACUUGAGUGCAGGAGAGGAAAGUGGAAUUCCUAGUGUAGCGGUGAAAUGCGUAGAUAUUAGGAGGAACACCAGUAGCGAAGGCGGCCCCCCUGGACGAAGACUGACGCUCAGGUGCGAAAGCGUGGGGAGCAAACAGGAUUAGAUACCCUGGUAGUCCACGCCGUAAACGAUGUCGACUUGGAGGUUGUGCCCUUGAGGCGUGGCUUCCGGAGCUAACGCGUUAAGUCGACCGCCUGGGGAGUACGGCCGCAAGGUUAAAACUCAAAUGAAUUGACGGGGGCCCGCACAAGCGGUGGAGCAUGUGGUUUAAUUCGAUGCAACGCGAAGAACCUUACCUGGUCUUGACAUCCACGGAAGUUUUCAGAGAUGAGAAUGUGCCUUCGGGAACCGUGAGACAGGUGCUGCAUGGCUGUCGUCAGCUCGUGUUGUGAAAUGUUGGGUUAAGUCCCGCAACGAGCGCAACCCUUAUCCUUUGUUGCCAGCGGUCCGGCCGGGAACUCAAAGGAGACUGCCAGUGAUAAACUGGAGGAAGGUGGGGAUGACGUCAAGUCAUCAUGGCCCUUACGACCAGGGCUACACACGUGCUACAAUGGCGCAUACAAAGAGAAGCGACCUCGCGAGAGCAAGCGGACCUCAUAAAGUGCGUCGUAGUCCGGAUUGGAGUCUGCAACUCGACUCCAUGAAGUCGGAAUCGCUAGUAAUCGUGGAUCAGAAUGCCACGGUGAAUACGUUCCCGGGCCUUGUACACACCGCCCGUCACACCACGAGAGUUUACAACACCCGAAGUCAGUGGCCUAACCGCAAGGAGGGAGCUGCCUAAGGUGGGGUAGAUGAUUGGGGUG